Phoenicopterus ruber ruber is the source of this 114-nucleotide non-coding RNA. Lineage: Eukaryota; Metazoa; Chordata; Aves; Phoenicopteriformes; Phoenicopteridae. The record is from Rfam.
GUUGGUUAUGGGGAUAUGAAACCCAUAACUGUGGGUGGGAAGAUAGUUGGGUCCCUGUGUGCCAUUGCGGGAGUGUUAACCAUUGCUUUACCAGUGCCAGUGAUUGUCUCCAAU